Molecule: long non-coding RNA, 4813 nt
Filed under: Sus scrofa (pig)
Lineage: Eukaryota; Metazoa; Chordata; Mammalia; Artiodactyla; Suidae
Description: lncRNA (ENSSSCG00030028749.1)
Source: RNAcentral
AAUGGAAGUGACACCAUCAAGCAGCCAGAAGCCAGGUGGAAAUUUGUUGGUAUCUCGGGAUGGCAAUUGUUGGCUCAUUUAGUCAUUGAAUCGGUCAUGCAAAUAACAUGUAUCAUGCCCAUCAGAAAGAUAUGUCAGUCCCUGGACACAGGAAUCUUUGGUGAUCCCUGUUAUAUAAAAGUGCAGGUUUGGAAUUAUCACUGCUAAAUGCCUAUUUAUCCAGGACUGCUAGGCAGAGGCCAUUUCUCCCAGAGAAGCUCUGACAUUUUAUGGAGUGUAGAGUUGAGCUAAAAUUUUACUAAUUUAUGUAAACACUGAAUACUUACCAAAGGCAAGGUAUCAGGCCUUGUAUGGAUAAAAGAUAAAUUAAACAUGGGCAGUCCUUGACCAAAAGGGAGAAAAACCUUUUCAUAUGUGAUUGCAGUAUAAGAGUAAAUCUGAGUCUAUGGUAGAUUGUUUGUAAGAAUCCCAAAGAGAAAAGUUAUUUCUUGAGCAUAAAAAGAUAGAGAUAAACAUAUAUUUAAGAUAAUAAUAAUAUAGACAAAUAAUAUAGGCACUGCUUUAUAAAUGCGAGAAAGCCGUUGAGACAAGACUGUUAACAACUGAGCAAGCAAGAUGGUUAAGCUAAUGUUGUAAGUAAUAAUUCCUCAGGCUCUUGAAAAUGGUAGUGUUUGAAGUUGUUUUUUUUUUUUAAAUUAAAGAUUCCAGGAAACCAGAGACUUCUGAGUAAUGUUUAAAUCAUUGGGAAUUGAUCUGACAUUUAAUGGCAAAACGUUGACUCUCUAAGGCCACACUAAGGUCAGUGGGUCAGGGCACUGCCAUUACCUAACCUUAGCUGGCCUCUUUCCAUGACAUAUCAGAAUAUUGAUCCGAGUUGUUAUGUGGAAUUGGGCAUGGAGUUCUCUCUUCUUAUUUUAACAUUUUAAAAAACCGGGUCUAACUAAUAUAUUAUAUUCUGCCAUGACUUUCAUUUUUGUGUGAUCGCACUGAAGGAAUCUGCUCUGCCUCUUGUUUAUCCUCCUACUUUGAUUUGUCCGUACUCCCUGAACAAAACUUAAGGCUUCUCUGAACACUUUCUAACCAGGGUUCAUUCACUGAAGGUUUAACAUUCUCUAGGAUUCUAUACUAUAUUUUGCCUUCAAAUUUCAUUGAUCCUUCAAACUUCAGUCUUACCAGCAGUCAUUUUUUUGAUUUUAUUUUUUAAUUUUUAAUUUUUUUCUGCUGUGCAGCAAAGCGACCCAAACAUAUAUGUUUACACAUUCUUUUUCUCUUGUUAUCUUCCAUCAUGUGCUAUCACAGAGAUUGGAUAUAGUUCCCUGUGCUCUUCAGUUGGACCUUAUUGCUUACCUAUUGAAAAUGCAGUAGUUUGCAUGUACUAACCCCAAACUCCUAGUCCAUCCCACUUCCUCCAAUCCCCUUGGCAACCAUAUGUCUGUUCUCCAUGUCUGUGAGUCUGUUUCUGACUUGUAGAUAGGUUCAUUUGUGCCAUAUUUAGGUUGUAGGAGAAUCUCUAGUUGCAUCCAUGGUAGUCAGUUUUGGUGUUCAUUGAGUGUGACCCUGAAUGAUUAAAUAAAAUUGGCUGUCUAUAGUGUUAAAUCUGCCUUUAUUUUUCAGACCCAUUGUCAACAAAAGGGUUCUAGCUUAGCUAUUGAAUAUUUUCUACCUUACUUAUAUAUUUUCUGUUUGGACUCUGCUUGAAGGUUGAUUGCCUUUUCCAUUUACCUGUUAGUCAUUGUGUUUUAUUUGACUAUGGACAUAUUGGGCACUGAAUUCAUAGGUCCAAACUAACUUCUUGAUUUGAACAAUGAUGGAACAAUUAAAUUUCUAACACUGUAGAACUGUAAAACACUUUUAGCUUUUCCGAAGAGCUUUCAGAUAUGGUUUCUCAUUUUACUUUCAUAACUCAUCUAUGAAAUAGAAGUAUAUACUAAUUCAGAAGAAGACUCUAACUCUUGAUCAAGCAAGUACAUUCCCAUUGCAGAUGACUAAUGUAAGCCAUAGGAAUAAUUUGUUCUGAAAAGGACCCAGUACAAUCAAUUCUUGAACCCACAUCUUAUCCUCAUGUUCUUAUUAAGUAAGUGGUGGGUGUCAGAAAUGGUAAUAAAAAAAAACAAAAUAUGCCAUUUGUAGUAACAUGGAUGGAACUAGAGACUCUCAUACUGAGUGAAGUUAGUCAGAAAGAGAAAGACAAAUACCAUAAGAUAUCACUUAUAUCUGGAAUCUAAUAUAUGGCACAAAUGAACCUUUCCACAGAAAAGAAAAUCAUGGACCUGGAGAAUAGACUUGUGGUUACCAAGGGGGAGGGGGAGGGAGUGGGAUUAUUGCCUUGGAAUGGAUUAGCAAUGAGAUCCUACUGUGUAGCACUGGGAACUAUGUCUAGUCUCCAUUAUGAUGGAGCAUGAUAAUGUGAGAAAAAAGAAUGUAUACAUGUGUGGAUCACUGGGUCACCAUGCUGUACAGUAGAAAAUUGACAGAACGUUGUAAACCAGCUAUAAUGGGAAAAAAAUCGUUAUAUAAACAAACAACAACAAAAAAAGUAUGUGGUGCAAAUUGCAAGUUGUCUACCAAAAUCUGUGCCCCAUUGCUUCCAUCGUAAGAAAGUGUCAUUACUGGGACAAAGCUGCCCAACCAUGGACUUUGUUUUCCUGCUCCCUCUGCAGCUGGCUGUGGCCAUGACUAAGUUCUCUCCCACGAAGUAUGAGCAAGAGUUAAAGAUGCCAUUCGAGACUUGCUUCGAAACACUGCAGGUUCACUUCUAUAGUAUUUGGAUUUUGUUUGUUUGCUUGUUUUUUCGUUUCCCAGGGGUGAUGUCAAGACGGACACAUGUUGAAGAGGGAAGGACUGGCCUCAUUCUGGAUUGGAGUUUUGCAUGACUGAGUGGAGCAGAGCCUUCCCACCAUCUCCCUUCCCACUCAGAUUGUUACUUGAGAGAUAUAUCCAUUUGUAUUUUAUUUCAACUCCAUUUUCAGGGCUACUUAUUCAGUACUUUAGUCUACUUACUUAAUAUAGACGGCCACUUGAUUUUACUAGGAAAAAAUUUUAAGAGCAUUUAAGUUGCGGCUGAUGAUGAGACUGAAAAGUAUCAAGCCCUGACUGUGUGCCUCCUUUCUGUCAUCUAUUUGAUGACAAGGCAGAAGCUUAGGAGACAGGAGAGAAGAAUGAAAGAGAGGUAGGCCAAGGGUGGAGGAGGAAGUGUGGAGGCAAGGGUUGAACUACAGAGAUGUCUUCACUUCCUCAGAAAUAAGAGUAGAUUAAAAACAUUUUAAAAAUUGAACGAGGACACCCUCCCUUUUUUUCUUACUUAAUUUUUUUUAAGACAAUCAUUUAAUCUUUCCUCAAGUUAUUUUUACAGUUGUGACCUACACGGCUCAGCUUUUGGCAAUGCCUGAUUCUUAAUACACUGAGUGAGGCCAGGGAUUGAACCCUCAUCCUCAUGGAGACUCUGUCAGGUUCUUAACCUGCUGAGCCACAACAGGAAGUCCUUACACAAAGUCUUUAUUGAAUAUUCUCAGCUCAUUAGCUAGCACCAGCUAAUGAAUUCUAAAUUCUUUGUGUUUGAUUCGCUAUUCACUACAGUGAGUCAAACACCAAGAAUUUAGCCAGGAGACCAAAAUAAUCACUGUAAGAACAGUCACCCUGGGAGUUCCUGUCUUGGCACAGGGAAACAAAUCUGACUAGGAACCAUGACGUUGCGGGUUCGAUCCCUGGCCUCGCUCAGUGGGUUAAGGAUCUGGCAUUGCCGUGAGCUGUGGUGCAGGUUGCAGAAGAGGCUCGGAUCUGGUGUUGCUGUGGCUGUGGUGUAGGCUGGCAGCAACAGCUCCGAUUAGACCUCUAACUUGGGAACACCCAUAUGCUGCGGGUAUGACUCUAAAAAGACAAAAAACAAAAAACAAACAAAAAACCCCCCAAAUAGUCACCAAGGACACAUAUUGCAGAAAGCAACCUCCACAUUUUAAGUCUUUUCCAAUCAAAUUGUGUCCUUUUUUUCUGUAACUCUUGUCACUUAGAUUUUAUCUUAGUGGGUCAUCUCAAAAAGUCUUGAUGCUAGAAUCCAGAGAAAUAGAGAGAUAAGCAUCACCAACACUUGUUGAUGAUGCAACUACUUAAUAUCUUCCAGAAGUGCUCACACAGACACCUUCACUUGAAAACAGGGUCAGAUAGAAACUUUAAGAGUCUCUCACAGGUGAAACCAUGGGGCGAGUGUAUGCAGUAACCCACAGUCGUACUGCCCUAACAGUAUCUGACCUGAACCUGGCACGGCUUCAGAAAAAGCCAUGUGUUCAGGCUAAAACAAGAAUGAGAAAAAAAGAGAACAUUGCUUUCUUCUAAUGUGGUAAAUAGGGCAUGAAGGUUUUAGAGUCUGCUGGUGAAACCAGUUUUACAAGUUCUUUACUUACCCAUAGGGCUUAGCCCUAAGGGAGAAAAAAUAUUUUUAUUCAGAAAAAACUUAAGACUUUGAAUCUUUGGAAUUUGGUAUCCAGAGUAAAGAACUAGAUGAAAGUUGUUAUAUCUACAUUUAUUGGGAUGAAAUUUGAAACUGGAACCAUUAUGUUUAAAAUUUUUUUUUCACAUGUGCCAUACUUCCCAUUUCUGUUUUUGGCAUGAGGAAGUGAUAAAAGAAAGCUUCUUAUGUGUCUCCUCAUUACAGUGACCCUUAACCUAUGUGGAGUUAGGGGAGACUGAACUCCUUCCCGUAAAACUCUGAGUAUAACUUCACAGUCCCCCUUCCCAAGGUUCUGCAUCCACAGAUUCAACCAAUGUGGCUUGUGUAGCACUGUAGUACAUAUUUACUGAAGAAAAAAAAAAACAAAAA